RNAcentral lists this ribosomal RNA (253 nucleotides) under uncultured Lachnospiraceae bacterium. RNAcentral's name for it is "partial 16S ribosomal RNA". It matches the Rfam family "Bacterial small subunit ribosomal RNA", at positions 524 to 776 of the family's 1533-position model. The record is from RNAcentral. Lineage: Bacteria; Bacillati; Bacillota; Clostridia; Lachnospirales; Lachnospiraceae.
UACGUAGGGGGCAAGCGUUAUCCGGAUUUACUGGGUGUAAAGGGAGCGUAGACGGUGAUGCAAGUCAGAAGUGAAAGCCCGGGGCUCAACUCCGGGACUGCUUUUGAAACUGUGUGACUGGAGUGCAGGAGAGGUAAGCGGAAUUCCUGGCGUAGCGGUGAAAUGCGUAGAUAUAUGGAAGAACACCAGUGGCGAAGGCGGAUUACUGGACGGUAACUGACGGUGAGGCGCGAAAGCGUGGGUAUCGAACAGG